UGCUUCAGGGUUCACUGUCUGACUUUUGCAACCUCUGGCAUUGUGACCACAACUCCCACAUGUUGUGCACUUGUACUUACUAGCACCUCUGCUAAAUUUCCCACAUGAUUUUGCUGGCUCAUCAGGCUCUCUCCUCCUUAGUUUCUUAGGUCUUCCUGGUCCUUUCUUGUACAAAGGAGGAAGCAUCUCCUCACAUUUAACUUCAGGCCACAUAUCUUGACCAUUUAUAGCACUCACAUUAAAGUUAUAACAUGCUUCAUACUUGCUCCUAGUAUACCAUUCAGAAACAUACCUGUCUGACUUUUGCAACCUCUGCCAUUGUGACCACAGCUCCCACAUGUUGUGCACUUGUACUUACUAGCACCUCUGCUAAAUUUCCCACAUGAUUUUGCUGGCUCAUCAGGCUCUCUCCUCCUUAGUUUCUUAGGUCUUCCUGGUCCUUUCUUGUACAAAGGAGGAAGCAUCUCCUCACAUUUAACUUCAGGCCACAUAUCUUGACCAUUUAUAGCACUCACAUUAAAGUUAUAACAUGCUUCAUACUUGCUCCUAGUAUACCAUUCAGAAACAUACCUGUCUGACUUUUGCAACCUCUGCCAUUGUGACCACAGCUCCCACAUGUUGUGCACUUGUACUUACUAGCACCUCUGCUAAAUUUCCCACAUGAUUUUGCUGGCUCAUCAGGCUCUCUCCUCCUUAGUUUCUUAGGUCUUCCUGGUCCUUUCUUGUACAAAGGAGGAAGCAUCUCCUCACAUUUAACUUCAGGCCACAUAUCUUGACCAUUUAUAGCACUCACAUUAAAGUUAUAACAUGCUUCAUACUUGCUCCUAGUAUACCAUUCAGAAAC
This 844-nucleotide long non-coding RNA is filed under the name Medicago truncatula (barrel medic). Its description in RNAcentral is "long non-coding RNA (MTRU_LNC007553)". The record is from RNAcentral. Lineage: Eukaryota; Viridiplantae; Streptophyta; Magnoliopsida; Fabales; Fabaceae.